CUAGGAGUCAGCUUCAUCUGAACAACGUUAGACGCUGAAAUCCGUGUUGGUCUUUGGAAGCACAUGGGAACAUUGCUCUCCAAAUCAUCUCUGGAGGUUUCUGACAAAGGAAGGAAGAUUCCUGAUCUUUUUACUUUGCCUUCAAAUGUAAUUUUUACUUCAACUUUUCUUCUUGAAUUAAGUUAGGGGCUGAUAACUCAAAGAAUGGAUUGUGUCAGACUAAUCAAGGAGAUCUAACCACUCAUGCCUGUGGCCUAAAACUUCCAGUUAACAAGCAAAGCUCCUCUGGUUGUUAAAUGUAAAAUAAUGAAACUCAGAUAUUUGGCCAGAUAGAGGUUUUCUCUUUGGCAAGCUUCACUAUAAGAAUCAGUUUCAUUUCCCCUAACCAGAUUUUAAGGCUCUGGAGUGUGAGGACCACAACUAAACAUUCCUUCUGAUCCUCCUGAGCUCAUGCUCAGCACUAAGUAAGUCCUAAGUAAUGCCAGAGAGGAGGUUAAAUGGAUGAGUGGAUGGCUACUGAAGUUACUCUGACUGCCUAACAGUUUCCUUCGGGAUUUUUUAAAAAAACUUGAUCCAGCUACUACUUCUAAAGAAAUAUCAAAAGCGCACUGCACCUGGACAAGAAGGCAUGAUGCUUGAAAAAUCUGCAGAGGGCAUCAGCCAAGGAAAACUAAGAUUUCAGACUCAAGACUGUAACACCGAUUCCUACCUGAAUCUUCAACCUGCCAGCUCUGCCCUACAGAUUUCAGACUUGCUGGCUUCCACAGUUGCAUGAAACAAUUCCUUAAAAUAAAUCAAUCCCUCUCUCUCGAUUUCUCCCUUCCUCCCCACCACCCACACUGUGUGUGUGUGUGUGUGUGUCUCCUAUUGGUUCUGUUUCUCUGGAAAACCCUGACUAAUACAAUCACUAAACCUGAGAGGCACAGCAUCUCCAUCAAGAACAGAGAAUACAGAGGCUGGAUGUCCUCAAGCUUCAGAGGCUGGAUGUGUGCAGGUGUAUCUCUUAGGUCAGUGACACAGAUGUACUGACUUUUGCAUCAGUGGGUAAAAUUCUUUCAAAGGCACAUCAUUCUGAAAUGUCCCACCACUAUCACCAACACUAAACUGCUAUACUUUAUAGCGCUUAGAUAUUAAAAUCAGCUGGGGAAAAAAAUGAAUAAAAGUUUUCCAGCUAACUGGAAACUAUUUCUGCUUAAAACUGUAUCUGUGCUCUUUUUCAUACAUUUUCCAAAGAGAAUUUGCUAUGAAAAGGAUACAUUAUUAAUUUAGUUGUGAAUGUCACAGGAAAAUAAAGACAAAAUGACAUUUACAGUGACAUAGGCCAUUUAUUGCUAUACAAUCAAGCCUGUUACUACCCCAGUGGCUAUAGUGUCUAUGACAUCUCCAGGUGAUCUGUAUACUGCUAUUAUCUGCAAGGACUAGCAGCAAAUCAGAGGAUUGGAGUGAUGCACAUAUCCCCUGUUCUAAUUAUUUCUUGCUUCCUUUUGGCUUCCACAAUGGAUCCCUAAAUGGCAUACCUUACUUGACACAAAAAAUAUGGUAUCAGAAUACUGUAAGUUGGUCACAGGAUGGUAGUACAGCAUGAAGAAUAUGGCCAAUGGUUCUGUAACAUCUUCCUAUGUUGACAGAUAGGAACUGCACCAGUUGGGGUGAGGAUUUAAUGAUGUGUGUAACUGUUGAACUACUGUGUCAUAUACUUGCAACCAAUGUAAUAUUGUGUAUCGACUAUACUUCAAUACAAAAUGAAAAUUUUAAAAAUAUUUUUAAUGUGUCAGAGAGGAAUAAAUGCACACAUCCACUGUGUGUUAGAUAAUGCUUCAUAUUCAUGGUGAAAAAUUUUGAGUGCUUUGAUAGCCACUGUCUCAUUUUAUCCUCACCAUCUAUUCAUUAUAUAGGUAGGGAAAGCAUUGUUAAUCCCCACUUUUUAAACAUCAGAAAAUAUUUUCAGAAGGACUGAAUACUUUGUCCAGGGUUCUAGCUAAUAUACCAGAUCAUAAGCAGGACUAUGACAGGACUUCUGACUCCCUUGGUGUAUGGAUCUAUACUACUGUGUUCAAUGCAUUAUUUUCUUUCUAUUUUUAGCUUUAAAAGGUUUUUAAAAAUGUUUAUAUAUCAUGUGUAUAACUUUAGAAACAUCCCACUGUCAAUAUCAAAUACAAUGUGUAUUCUUUUGAUGUAUCAUGACAUCCAACAUA
Manis javanica (Malayan pangolin) is the source of this 2195-nucleotide non-coding RNA. The record is from RefSeq and is a predicted model, not a curated record. NCBI's taxonomy places the organism in Eukaryota, Metazoa, Chordata, Mammalia, Pholidota, Manidae.